Molecule: unclassified non-coding RNA, 274 nt
Filed under: uncultured fungus
Lineage: Eukaryota; Fungi
Description: partial internal transcribed spacer 1
Source: RNAcentral
UUUUUACACAAUUCUGAUUUUUUACUCCCCACUUAUUAUAUUUUCAAUGAUUUAAGUUAUAUUGAAGUCCCUAUGACCCUAUGUUUUAAUUGUGAAAAUUCAUUUUAUCCUCUGGAGGCAAAUUUAUUAAAUACGUAUGGUUAUAACGCGUAUUAAAAAGAAAUAUGUCCUUAAAAUGAUUUAGAGUUUCAAUGAUUAGCUAACAAAUCUAUUUAUCGGCGGGUGGUUUUAAUUUGCUGAUGACUAUUUUUUAUUUAUGAGCUGAGAGCUUAUG